ACCACUAACUCACUAACUCCUAUUCUCCUACCCUAGCGCAGCCAAGAAACCUCAUUACCCCAACCCUUCCCAGCCCCCUCCCAGCAGCGCCUCCUAGCCCCGCCUCCCAGCCCCUCCCACUCCCAGUCCCGCGAACAAGCGCCUCCCAGUCCCGCGAACCAGUGCCUCGCAGCAACGCCUCCCAGCCGCGCCUCGCAGCAACACCUCCCAGCCGCGCCUCGCAGCAAUGCCUCCCAACAGCGUCGGACCAGCCACCCAGUAGCGCCGGACCAGCCCCUUCCAGCAUGCAGCACCUCCCAACACCGAACACCAGAUAUGGAGGAUCCAACUCAUCCAAGUCAGGGCAGCACAACAGAUAGCACCCAAGAUCAACACAGCACCUUGCCACUUCCACCCAGCAGCCGAUUCAAGUGAAUAUGGAGCCCGAGCCAUCUAUUCAGGUUUGGGGCUGAUGUGAUGGAAGUAGUUGCAUUUUGGACAAAAGCCUUGUGCGUUGACAUCUCUCAAGGCCGCAUACCAAAUCAUGUUGAUGAUGUCAAAGCUGAAGCUAGUGACUUAGGAAAUAAAGUUUUAUCUAAUUGGAGUGUACUUCACAUUAGGACAGGCAAUGGUUUCCUUCUCCAAGAAUUAGCUAAACAGGGUAUGGUAUUUAUUGUGAUGUUCUGCACUUUUAGUAAUAUAUGCUGUAUAAUUCUUUUAUAUAAAAAAAGAGAAAAGAAAGACUUUGUAAAAGUUAGCAAAUUUCUGAAUUACUCUUUAUUAUAACAAAAUGUGUAUUGUUGGAAAUCGGAAGGCAUGUGAAUCUUGUGCCAUAUAAAUUUGU
Molecule: long non-coding RNA, 823 nt
Organism: Arachis stenosperma
Lineage: Eukaryota; Viridiplantae; Streptophyta; Magnoliopsida; Fabales; Fabaceae
Exons: 3
Source: RefSeq, a predicted model, not a curated record